AUGGCAAAAGAACUAUCAUGUGUGCUGAGAGGCGCCUAUGCAGACGGAGGCGGCGCCACAAACGGCAUAGGCACAUUGAUGCUCGGGAUGGUAGGUAUCUGCGGCAUUGUCACCUUCGGCACAACAAUUGCGGGCAUUGGCGGCAUGGUCAACUUUGGCACGACAAUGGCAGGCAUCGGGGGCAUCGUCAUCUUGGGCAUGGAAGGAACAACUGGCAUAGGCGGCAGUGUCACCUGCGGCACUGUGGGCAUGGUCGGCAUAGGUGGCACGGUCGCAGCCGGCACCGUGGGAACAGGCAUAGCCGGCAUAGGCGGCAGUGCCAUCUGCGGCACCGUGGGCACGGUGGGCAUAGGUGGCACGGUCAUGGCCGGCACUGUGGGCACAACUGCCGGCAAGGUCGGCACCGCUGGGAUGCCAGGGACAGGAGCAGCGGUAGGGGCAGCCGGAGGAGUAGUGUCGGCCAAGUUGCGUGCGCCAUGGCACGUGUUGCUGGAGAGGAGCGCGCACGCCAUGAUCGUGGCCAAGAAGCUCGCCAUGGAAGCCAUAGCUAGCUAG
RNAcentral lists this ribosomal RNA (555 nucleotides) under Triticum aestivum (bread wheat). RNAcentral describes it as "partial small subunit ribosomal RNA". Lineage: Eukaryota; Viridiplantae; Streptophyta; Magnoliopsida; Poales; Poaceae. The record is from RNAcentral.